AACAAACAUAAAUCUAUUGAAUAACAACCUAACCAAAACUGGCCAAGCCCACAAACAACAUAAGUCGACGAAUAACCAAAUCAAAAUGAGAUCUAGCCAACACACAACAAUAAAUCGAUGAACACAAAUCAAAUCAAAAUGAAACAUAACCCAACCAUAAAUCAUAAACGAUAAAUGAAAUUUGAACCAAAAGAAAUAAUG
RNAcentral lists this long non-coding RNA (201 nucleotides) under Lathyrus oleraceus (garden pea). RNAcentral describes it as "Pisum sativum (pea) long non-coding RNA (PSAT_LNC002762)". The record is from RNAcentral. Lineage: Eukaryota; Viridiplantae; Streptophyta; Magnoliopsida; Fabales; Fabaceae.